Molecule: transfer RNA, 70 nt
Filed under: Leptopilina boulardi
Lineage: Eukaryota; Metazoa; Arthropoda; Insecta; Hymenoptera; Figitidae
Description: tRNA-Gln
Source: RNAcentral
UAUAUAUUAGUGUUAAAGUGCACAAAAAUUUUUGAUAUUUUUAGAAUUAAUUAAAAUUUAAUAUAUAUAA